RNAcentral lists this ribosomal RNA (527 nucleotides) under uncultured Bacteroidota bacterium. RNAcentral's name for it is "bacterial SSU rRNA". It matches the Rfam family "Bacterial small subunit ribosomal RNA", at positions 122 to 647 of the family's 1533-position model. The record is from RNAcentral. Lineage: Bacteria; Pseudomonadati; Bacteroidota.
CAACCUGCCCAUCACUUGGGGAUAACCUUGCGAAAGUAAGACUAAUACCCAAUGAUAUCUCUAGAAGACAUNUGAAGGAGAUUAAAGAUUUAUCGGUGAUGGAUGGGGAUACGUCUGAUUAGCUUGUUGGCGGGGUAACGGCCCACCAAGGCUACGAUCAGUAGGGGUUCUGAGAGGAAGGUCCCCCACAUNGGAACUGAGACACGGUCCAAACUCCUACGGGAGGCAGCAGUGAGGAAUAUUGGUCAAUGGGUGAGAGCCUGAACCAGCCAAGUAGCGUGCAGGAUGACGGCCCUAUGGGUUGUAAACUGCUUUUAUAAGGGAAUAAAGUGAGUCUCGUGAGACUUUUUGCAUGUACCUUAUGAAUAAGGACCGGCUAAUUCCGUGCCAGCAGCCGCGGUAAUACGGAAGGUCCGGGCGUUAUCCGGAUUUAUUGGGUUUAAAGGGAGCGUAGGCCGGAGAUUAAGCGUGUUGUGAAAUGUAGACGCUCAACGUNUGCANUGCAGCGCGAACUGGUUUCCUUGAGU